CUCCUUUCGGCACUUGCUGUCAUCACCAUGGCCAGCUACAAAUCCAGCGGGGAUGGCUGGCCAGGAUGUGACGGACAGCCUUGCUCUUACGAUGUCAAAUCAAGGACACAGAGCUGUCCACCACGAUGUCGUUGCAUCAUAAACGAAACCACUAGCAGCUAUCAGAGGGGCUUCUGUUGGACAUGAGCGUUCAAGCACUCUGC
RNAcentral lists this long non-coding RNA (203 nucleotides) under Rhipicephalus microplus (southern cattle tick). Its description in RNAcentral is "uncharacterized LOC119160017, transcript variant X1". The record is from RNAcentral. Lineage: Eukaryota; Metazoa; Arthropoda; Arachnida; Ixodida; Ixodidae.